RNAcentral lists this ribosomal RNA (497 nucleotides) under uncultured Glomeromycotina. Its description in RNAcentral is "partial small subunit ribosomal RNA". It matches the Rfam family "Eukaryotic small subunit ribosomal RNA", at positions 591 to 1092 of the family's 1831-position model. The record is from RNAcentral. Lineage: Eukaryota; Fungi; Glomeromycota.
CCAAUAGCGUAUAUUAAAGUUGUUGCAGUUAAAAAGCUCGUAGUUGAAUUUCGGGAUCAGUACGCUGGUCGUGCCUUUGGUAUGUACUGGUGUCACUGAUUCCUCCCUUCUGAAGAACCGUUAUGCCAUUUAUUUGGUGUGGCGGGGAAUCAGGACUGUUACUUUGAAAAAAUUAGAGUGUUUAAAGCAGGCUCGCGCUUGAAUACAUUAGCAUGGAAUAAUGAAAUAGGACGUUUGAUCUUAUUUUGUUGGUUUCUAGGAUCGACGUAAUGAUUAAUAGGGAUAGUUGGGGGCAUUAGUAUUCAAUUGUCAGAGGUGAAAUUCUUGGAUUUAUUGAAGACUAACUACUGCGAAAGCAUUUGCCAAGGAUGUUUUCAUUAAUCAAGAACGAAAGUUAGGGGAUCGAAGACGAUCAGAUACCGUCGUAGUCUUAACCAUAAACUAUGCCGACUAGGGAUCGGAUGAUGUUAAUUGAAUGACUCGACGGGCAGCCUCCG